AAUGUACGAUAUUUCAUGUGAAUUGUAAGAUUCCGUGAAUCAUUGAGAUUUUGAAUGCAUAUUGUACCUUUAUGAUUAAUACUCUUAAAGGUCUAUUUAUUUGAGCGUCUAAAUCAAAUUAACAAUCGUAAUAUAUAUACCACGACAUUGUUUAAUCAAUAUUACUUAAAAAUCCUUCUUUUUUAAGUUUAUUGAUUAGAUUAAAAUUACUUGAAUCUUAAAGAGAGCAAUAGUUUUUAAGAUUUCCAUGGGAUUGUGAUAAUUAAUCUUUGGUUGAUUAAAAUAAUCUCUAUCUUAAAUCUUUCUUUCUUUAAUGUAUUUACUUCUUUACUCUUUAAAAAAAAAAUUAAUGGACCUCAAAUUAAAUAGGAUUACUCGCUGAAUUUAA
Molecule: unclassified non-coding RNA, 388 nt
Filed under: uncultured fungus
Lineage: Eukaryota; Fungi
Description: sequence contains ITS1
Rfam family: 5.8S ribosomal RNA (bases 1-110)
Source: RNAcentral